UCAUUUAUCAGGCUCAAGCUCAGGAGGUUUGCGCUCUCUAAUAUUUUAUACAUGGAAAAAAAGUUACGAAAAUAUAAUAUUUAAUCUCCUACGCGUUUCUUGUUUUGCAAGUUGAAUCCAUUGUGCUGAAAAAAUAUGGAAGGGAGGCUUAUAGGAUAUUUAGGUUGCUCUCUGAACGUGAACGACGUAUUGAGACAGAUAAGAGAGUUGAAAACGAAGCUCAGAAAAUGGAGAUUAUGUUGUGGGAGUUGAAUAAAUGUUCCGUUUGGGAACAAGUUUUAGAUGACAUGUAUCAUGCCGCCCUCAACUUAAAACUUCGCCUUCUACAUGAGCUUGUCAUGCACAAGAUUUACUUCGGGUGCUUAAAGGGAAAAGCUUUAAGGAAGGAGACGAAGCCACGAAUAAACACAGAAAAUACAGUACACCACAAAUGGAAGGUUCUAGAAUCUUAUUUUAUGAUUCUUGAUGAUGCCAUCAUGCUAUUUCAUGACUUUUAAGUUUUAAGAAUGAUGAUAGAUAGUAACCCUGCUUUGUUUUUCAUAAUUCAUUAGUUAUAUAUUUAUUUAUAUCUAAACAUGUGGUAUAUUCAAUUGGAUGAACUUCUCUAUUUCUACAUGUGUUUUCAUUAUCCAAGGA
Long non-coding RNA from Helianthus annuus (common sunflower), 636 nucleotides. RefSeq lists it as uncharacterized. Lineage: Eukaryota; Viridiplantae; Streptophyta; Magnoliopsida; Asterales; Asteraceae. The transcript is spliced from 3 exons. The record is from RefSeq and is a predicted model, not a curated record.